Molecule: microRNA, 22 nt
Filed under: Murid gammaherpesvirus 4 (Murine herpesvirus 68)
Lineage: Duplodnaviria; Heunggongvirae; Peploviricota; Herviviricetes; Herpesvirales; Orthoherpesviridae
Description: mghv-miR-M1-5-3p
Gene: mghv-miR-M1-5-3p
Source: miRBase by way of RNAcentral
AGGCAAACCCGAGCUCCUCCUU